AAACGGCUGCUUUGACUCUUCCUCUAGUAGAACUCCUGGCUCUUAGGAGAGUUUUACCCCUCAAAAUAAAGCAAACUGUCUGCUGAUGCUCAGCAAAACUCUAAAUAACACCUCACAAGCAUUAGAUGUUUAAAAAAAUGUUUUUUAAAUUAAUCUAGGGCCGAACUCUUGGAAAUAGAGCCGCCAUUGGUUACGCGCUGCUCCCGUUCCUCCGUCACCUGAGUUAUGAGAGAUCCCCUGACAAAGUCAGGGUCUCUCCUAGGUUGUUUGACGGGUUUGGGAACUAAGGACAUUAUCUUAAGACGCCAUCUUGUUGGUCAGUAUAAUCAUUACUUUGUGUUUUUCUCUGUGUGUCUGCUGAUGUUAAUACCACCUCCUGCCUGCCAGCCUUCCUGUAGAAACAUGCUGUGGGCCACUCGACCGACCCGUGGGUGGACUCUAACUGCCGUACCCCUCCCUACACCGCCCCCUGUCAGCUUGAAGAAGCCACAACGGUCAUCGUCCCUGUUCCCUGACAGCAGUUAUAGGCCCUGUUCCAGGGGUGGAAUAAACAGGGAAAGGGUUAACAUGAGGCGGGGAGAGAUAAGGGACCGCAGCUGCAGGUGGGAGGCUGAAGAAGCCGACGGGCUUCUCCCCGUAUAGGAUCUUUGACAGGCACCUUCCCCCGCAUUAUCAAGGGCAUAAGGGGGAGGAUCUAAAUGUGAUGGACAACCUAACCCUAAGACAACAGAUGCGGGCCCUGGGCUCUGCCCUAACCACCUUACACCACUAGGUCAGGGAGCAAUUACCUGUGAGUCUGACCACAGAUGCUCACCCCUUUAAACCAGGAGAUGCAAUAUGGAUAAAGGAGUGAAAUGUCCAACCCCUAAAACCCCUCUGGAGGGGCCCGUUCACUGUCAUUUCGUCCACCCCUCCUGCAGUAAAGGUGGCCAAAGUGUGUCCCUGGAUUCACCACAGCAGAGUGAAGCCGGCAUCUCGAAACUGGGCAUGCAUUCCUGACCCAUUGAUGCUGUGCAAGCUGACCAUACGGAAGAUCCUGCAACUCCAGAGGCUCCGGGAGACUGCAGCCCUGCUUUAGUCACUCCGGAAGCUGCCUGAUCUAUGCACAGCAGAAGGCUGAGGAACCGACCGUCUGGAUUGGCCUAGGCCGCCCCGGGUUGGCUGCAAAUGUGGGGAGAGGUUUCUGUGAACACUCACCUUCCUCUUGUGGAUAGGAUACUUCGUUGGUACCAACGUGGGAAAACAAUGGCCCUAAGAGACUAGAAAAUUAGAUCCCCACAAACUUUAGAGUAAAACAAAAUACCCCAGUCCUACUACUGGGGUUUGGCUUCUCCAAAGCUCAAAUAAUUGGGAAGAACUUUCUUACCUAGUGGGGGAAAAGUUCAUCGUCGUCUCUGUUAAAAACUUAACAUUCCUAGGCCAACUGAACUGCCAGGAAAACCCAAUGGUGGGGGACCCCAGAUCACCUUGAGCCAGAUCCCCAUCCAUUGUCUAACUUUUCUCACCUCUGAGAGGCCUGGGACAGUGUCAACACAGCCAUCAAGUGGCGGGUCCCAGGUGGACUGUACUAGAUAUGUGGAAGGACAGCUCUACAGUACUUCCCUUGGUCUGGUCACGGUCACGUGUGCUGGGAACUCUUCGUCCAUCUUUCUUCCUGCUCCCACUUGCCAGAGGGAAACAUUCGGGAGUCCAAGUGUAUGGGGAGAGGGAGAUGCAAAGAAAGCAGCAUGCCUUACAAAUUGGCAAUUAAAAAGGCGAUAAAAGGCCUCCCGAGCGUAUAAUCCAAUAUUAUGGCCCUGCCGCCUGGACAGAGGACGGGUCCUCAGGCUACUGCACUCCCAUUUACAUGCUAAACCGCACAAUCAGACUAUAGGCAAUUAUAAAAAUUAUAACCAACAAAACUACCAGAGUGGUUGACUUUCUAGCCAAGCAGCAAACCAAAAUACACAAUGCUACCUAUCAAAAUUGCUUGGACUUAGAUUACCUGCUUGCUUCCCCCCACCAAAAAAAAAGUUUGUCAAAAGUUUAACGUAAGAAACUGCUGCCUACAGACAGAUAAUGAGAAAAAAGUCAUAGAGGAGAUCACAAAUCAAAUGAAAAGGAUUUCUCAUGUCCCCGUCCAGACCUGGAACAGUUAAAACCCCAAGGAGUUAUCUGGAGGAUGUUUUUCAACUUUUGGAGCGCUCAAAACUCUCAUAAAAAUUAUCCUCCUAAUUCUGGGAGGUUGCUUAAUCAUACCUUGCUUAGCUCCCUUGGUGGCGUGGUCUGUCUCCGGUCUCAUUGAGACCAUAAU
Leopardus geoffroyi (Geoffroy's cat) is the source of this 2293-nucleotide long non-coding RNA. RefSeq lists it as uncharacterized. NCBI's taxonomy places the organism in Eukaryota, Metazoa, Chordata, Mammalia, Carnivora, Felidae. The transcript has 2 exons. The record is from RefSeq and is a predicted model, not a curated record.